AACGAACGCUGGCGGCAUGCUUAACACAUGCAAGUCGAACGGAUAGCUUGCUAUCAGUGGCGCACGGGUGAGUAACACGUGGGAACCUACCUUUUAGUUUGGGAUAACUUUGGGAAACUAAGGCUAAUACCGGAUACGCUUUGCAGCUUGGCGCUGUAAAGGAAAGAUUUAUCGCUAAAAAGAUGGGCCCGCGGUGGAUUAGCUUGUUGGUGGGGUAAAGGCUUACCAAGGCAACGAUCCAUAGCUGGUCUGAGAGGAUGAUCAGCCACACUGGGACUGAGAUACGGCCCAGACUCCUACGGGAGGCAGCAGUGGGGAAUAUUGGACAAUGGGCGAAAGCCUGAUCCAGCAAUGCCGCGUGAGUGAAGAAGGUCUUCGGAUUGUAAAGCUCUUUCACGGGUGAAGAUAAUGACGGUAACCCGAGAAGAAGCCCGCUAACUUCGUG
RNAcentral lists this ribosomal RNA (445 nucleotides) under uncultured bacterium. Its description in RNAcentral is "bacterial SSU rRNA". It matches the Rfam family "Bacterial small subunit ribosomal RNA", at positions 29 to 507 of the family's 1533-position model. The record is from RNAcentral.